Molecule: unclassified non-coding RNA, 234 nt
Filed under: plant metagenome
Description: partial contains small subunit ribosomal RNA, internal transcribed spacer 1, and 5.8S ribosomal RNA
Source: RNAcentral
UUUCCGUAGGUGAACCUGCGGAAGGAUCAUUACUGAGUGAGGGCCCUCUGGGUCCAACCUCCCACCCGUGUUUAUUGUACCUAGUUGCUUCGGUGCGCCCGCCUCACGGCCGCCGGGGGGCUUCUGCCCCCGGGUCCGCGCGCACCGGAGACACCAUUGAACUCUGUCUGAAGAUUGCAGUCUGAGCAUAAACUAAAUAAGUUAAAACUUUCAACAACGGAUCUCUUGGUUCCG